RNAcentral lists this transfer RNA (59 nucleotides) under Stenocladius sp. 2 XYG-2023a. RNAcentral describes it as "tRNA-Val". The record is from RNAcentral. Lineage: Eukaryota; Metazoa; Arthropoda; Insecta; Coleoptera; Lampyridae.
CAAAUAUUUUUUUAUAUUCUUUACAUGAAUAUUUUUGUUGUUAGAUCAAUAUUAUUUGA